UGAAAUUUAAACAUAAUAUGUUGUUAUUUUAUUCAAAAAACAAACAAAAGAUACAAACUUUGAUAAUACAAUGAACAUGCUCUAAGCUUGUCAAUGAAAGAGGGUGACAAACAUAGUAUUAUUGUUUUCUUUUCACAAAAUAACUCAACAAUUUUACAAUAAGGUGUUAUGCUACCCACAAUGACACCCAUCUCGAGUGCACUUCAAGACUUCAGGAGGGAUGCACUCAUAAGCUGAAAAAUUAAUAUCAAAAGUAAUCAAACAAAAUAAAGUAAUGUAAAAUAAAAUAAAAACAUUGUUACUCUAAAAAAGAAAUUCUAAAAGGGAAAAAAAGAGUUAACUUCCUCGAGCACCUUCACAUCGACACCCAUCCUGAGUGCACUUCAAGACUCCAGGAGGGAUACAACCAUGACCUAGAAAAUAAAUGUCAAAAGUAAUAAAGAAUGUUACUCAAAUGAGAUGAAUGAUUGCGUUUAAAGUAAAAAAAAAAAAAAAAAAAAAGGGCUAACUCCCGUUUGCACCUUCACAUCGACACCCAUUCUCAGUGCACCUCAUGACUCUAGAAGAGAUACACUCAUGAGCUGGAAAAUAAACGUUAACACAAAAUG
This 608-nucleotide long non-coding RNA is filed under the name Medicago truncatula (barrel medic). RNAcentral's name for it is "long non-coding RNA (MTRU_LNC003065)". The record is from RNAcentral. Lineage: Eukaryota; Viridiplantae; Streptophyta; Magnoliopsida; Fabales; Fabaceae.